AGCGAACGCUGGCGGCAGGCUUAACACAUGCAAGUCGAACGGGCUUCUUCGGAAGUCAGUGGCAGACGGGUGAGUAACACGUGGGAACGUGCCCUUCGGUUCGGAAUAACUCAGGGAAACUUGAGCUAAUACCGGAUACGCCCUUUUGGGGAAAGGUUUACUGCCGAAGGAUCGGCCCGCGUCUGAUUAGCUUGUUGGUGGGGUAACGGCCUACCAAGGCGACGAUCAGUAGCUGGUCCGAGAGGAUGAUCAGCCACACUGGGACUGAGACACGGCCCAGACUCCUACGGGAGGCAGCAGUGGGGAAUAUUGGACAAUGGGCGCAAGCCUGAUCCAGCCAUGCCGCGUGAGUGAUGAAGGCCUUAGGGUUGUAAAGCUCUUUUGUCCGGGACGAUAAUGACGGUACCGGAAGAAUAAGCCCCGGCUAACUUCGUG
RNAcentral lists this ribosomal RNA (435 nucleotides) under uncultured bacterium. RNAcentral describes it as "partial 16S ribosomal RNA". It matches the Rfam family "Bacterial small subunit ribosomal RNA", at positions 29 to 507 of the family's 1533-position model. The record is from RNAcentral.